UACGGAGGGGGCUAGCGUUGUUCGGAAUUACUGGGCGUAAAGCGCACGUAGGCGGCUACUCAAGUCAGAGGUGAAAGCCUGGAGCUCAACUCCAGAACUGCCUUUGAAACUAGGUAGCUUGAACACGGGAGAGGUGAGUGGAAUUCCGAGUGUAGAGGUGAAAUUCGUAGAUAUUCGGAAGAACACCAGUGGCGAAGGCGGCUCACUGGACCGGUAUUGACGCUGAGGUGCGAAAGCGUGGGGAGCAAACAGG
This 253-nucleotide ribosomal RNA is filed under the name uncultured bacterium. Its description in RNAcentral is "partial 16S ribosomal RNA". It matches the Rfam family "Bacterial small subunit ribosomal RNA", at positions 524 to 776 of the family's 1533-position model. The record is from RNAcentral.